GGGUUGUGAGGUUAAGCGACUAAGCGUACACGGUGGAUGCCCUGGCAGUCAGAGGCGAUGAAGGACGUGCUAAUCUGCGAAAAGCGCCGGCGAGGUGAUAUGAACCUUUGACCCGGCGAUGUCCGAAUGGGGAAACCCAGUGUGUUCCGACACACUAUCGUUAACUGAAUACAUAGGUUAACGAGGCGAACCGGGGGAACUGAAACAUCUAAGUACCCCGAGGAAAAGAAAUCAACCGAGAUUCCCCCAGUAGCGGCGAGCGAACGGGGAGCAGCCCGGAGUCUGAAUCAGCUUGUGUGUUAGUGGAACGGUCUGGAAAGUCCGACGGUACAGGGUGAUAGUCCCGUACACGAAAAUGCACAUGCUGUGAACUCGAAGAGUAGGGCGGGACACGUGGUAUCCUGUCUGAAUAUGGGGGGACCAUCCUCCAAGGCUAAAUACUCCUGACUGACCGAUAGUGAACCAGUACCGUGAGGGAAAGGCGAAAAGAACCCCGGCGAGGGGAGUGAAAAAGAACCUGAAACCGUGUACGUACAAGCAGUGGGAGCACCUUCGGGUGUGACUGCGUACCUUUUGUAUAAUGGGUCAGCGACUUAUAUUCUGUAGCAAGGUUAACCGUAUAGGGGAGCCGAAGGGAAACCGAGUCUUAACUGGGCGUUAAGUUGCAGGGUAUAGACCCGAAACCCGGUGAUCUAGCCAUGGGCAGGUUGAAGGUUGGGUAACACUAACUGGAGGACCGAACCGACUAAUGUUGAAAAAUUAGCGGAUGACCUGUGGCUGGGGGUGAAAGGCCAAUCAAACCGGGAGAUAGCUGGUUCUCCCCGAAAGCUAUUUAGGUAGCGCCUCGUGAACUCAUCUUCGGGGGUAGAGCACUGUUUCGGCUAGGGGGCCAUCCCGGCUUACCAACCCGAUGCAAACUACGAAUACCGAAGAAUGUUAUCACGGGAGACACACGGCGGGUGCUAACGUCCGUCGUGAAGAGGGAAACAACCCAGACCGCCAGCUAAGGUCCCAAAGUCAUGGUUAAGUGGGAAACGAUGUGGGAAGGCACAGACAGCCAGGAUGUUGGCUUAGAAGCAGCCAUCAUUUAAAGAAAGCGUAAUAGCUCACUGGUCGAGUCGGCCUGCGCGGAAGAUGUAACGGGGCUAAACCAUGCACCGAAGCUGCGGCAGCGACGCUUAUGCGUUGUUGGGUAGGGGAGCGUUCUGUAAGCCGUUGAAGGUGUGCUGUGAGGCAUGCUGGAGGUAUCAGAAGUGCGAAUGCUGACAUAAGUAACGAUAAAGCGGGUGAAAAGCCCGCUCGCCGGAAGACCAAGGGUUCCUGUCCAACGUUAAUCGGGGCAGGGUGAGUCGACCCCUAAGGCGAGGCCGAAAGGCGUAGUCGAUGGGAAACAGGUUAAUAUUCCUGUACUUGGUGUUACUGCGAAGGGGGGACGGAGAAGGCUAUGUCAGCCGGGCGACGGUUGUCCCGGUUUAAGCAUGUAGGCGGAGGUUCCAGGUAAAUCCGGUACCUUAUUAACGCUGAGGUGUGAUGACGAGGCACUACGGUGCUGAAGUGAUAAAUGCCCUGCUUCCAGGAAAAGCCUCUAAGCAUCAGGUAACACGAAAUCGUACCCCAAACCGACACAGGUGGUCAGGUAGAGAAUACCAAGGCGCUUGAGAGAACUCGGGUGAAGGAACUAGGCAAAAUGGUGCCGUAACUUCGGGAGAAGGCACGCUGAUAUGUAGGUGAAGCCCCUGCGGGCGGAGCUGAAAUCAGUCGAAGAUACCAGCUGGCUGCAACUGUUUAUUAAAAACACAGCACUGUGCAAACACGAAAGUGGACGUAUACGGUGUGACGCCUGCCCGGUGCCGGAAGGUUAAUUGAUGGGGUUAGCGGCAACGCGAAGCUCUUGAUCGAAGCCCCGGUAAACGGCGGCCGUAACUAUAACGGUCCUAAGGUAGCGAAAUUCCUUGUCGGGUAAGUUCCGACCUGCACGAAUGGCGUAAUGAUGGCCAGGCUGUCUCCACCCGAGACUCAGUGAAAUUGAACUCGCUGUGAAGAUGCAGUGUACCCGCGGCAAGACGGAAAGACCCCGUGAACCUUUACUAUAGCUUGACACUGAACACUGGUCCUUGAUGUGUAGGAUAGGUGGGAGGCUUUGAAGCGUGGACGCCAGUCUGCGUGGAGCCGCCCUUGAAAUACCACCCUUUAAUGGCUGGUGUUCUAACGUAGACCCGUGAUCCGGGUUGCGGACAGUGUCUGGUGGGUAGUUUGACUGGGGCGGUCUCCUCCCAAAGAGUAACGGAGGAGCACGAAGGUUGGCUAAUCCUGGUCGGACAUCAGGAGGUUAGUGCAAUGGCAUAAGCCAGCUUGACUGCGAGCGUGACGGCGCGAGCAGGUGCGAAAGCAGGUCAUAGUGAUCCGGUGGUUCUGAAUGGAAGGGCCAUCGCUCAACGGAUAAAAGGUACUCCGGGGAUAACAGGCUGAUACCGCCCAAGAGUUCAUAUCGACGGCGGUGUUUGGCACCUCGAUGUCGGCUCAUCACAUCCUGGGGCUGAAGUAGGUCCCAAGGGUAUGGCUGUUCGCCAUUUAAAGUGGUACGCGAGCUGGGUUUAGAACGUCGUGAGACAGUUCGGUCCCUAUCUGCCGUGGGCGCUGGAGAAUUGAGGGGGGCUGCUCCUAGUACGAGAGGACCGGAGUGGACGCAUCACUGGUGUUCGGGUUGUCAUGCCAAUGGCACUGCCCGGUAGCUAAAUGCGGAAGAGAUAAGUGCUGAAAGCAUCUAAGCACGAAACUUGCCCCGAGAUGAGUUCUCCCUGAGAC
Molecule: ribosomal RNA, 2805 nt
Filed under: Enterobacter hormaechei
Lineage: Bacteria; Pseudomonadati; Pseudomonadota; Gammaproteobacteria; Enterobacterales; Enterobacteriaceae
Also listed under: 1 other name
Description: partial 23S ribosomal RNA
Rfam family: Bacterial large subunit ribosomal RNA
Source: RNAcentral